CGGCGGAUGGGUGAGUAUCACGUGGGCAACCUGCCUGUAAGAUCGGGAUAACUCGCGGAAACGUGAGCUAAUACCGGAUGAAGUCUUACGCCACCUGGCGUAAGGAUGAAAGAUGGCCUUUGUGCUAUCACUUACAGAUGGGCCCGCGGCGCAUUAGCUAGUUGGUGGGGUAAUGGCCUACCAAGGCGACGAUGCGUAGCCGACCUGAGAGGGUGAUCGGCCACACUGGGACUGAGACACGGCCCAGACUCCUACGGGAGGCAGCAGUAGGGAAUCUUCCGCAAUGGACGAAAGUCUGACGGAGCAACGCCGCGUGAGUGAUGAAGGUCUUCGGAUCGUAAAACUCUGUUGUCAGGGAAGAACAAGUGACGUUCGAAUAGGGCGUGACCUUGACGGUACCUGACCAGAAAGCCCCGGCUAACUACGUGCCAGCAGCCGCGGUAAUACGUAGGGGGCAAGCGUUGUCCGGAAUUAUUGGGCGUAAA
RNAcentral lists this ribosomal RNA (485 nucleotides) under uncultured bacterium. Its description in RNAcentral is "bacterial SSU rRNA". It matches the Rfam family "Bacterial small subunit ribosomal RNA", at positions 96 to 564 of the family's 1533-position model. The record is from RNAcentral.